This 1478-nucleotide long non-coding RNA is filed under the name Triticum aestivum (bread wheat). RNAcentral's name for it is "long non-coding RNA (TAES_LNC027955)". Lineage: Eukaryota; Viridiplantae; Streptophyta; Magnoliopsida; Poales; Poaceae. The record is from RNAcentral.
GUGUUCCCAGUCUUAGGGGCAGGCGGGGGACUGAAGCUAGGCCACGCGCUGGCCGGCUCAGAAAUCACUAUGAACUGUUCCCUUGUGGAAGUACAUUUCUGUGAUUGCAUCCAGUUUAGGCCUUUAGGUACCGAACUUAUGCAUCAUCAGCAUUUAAUUUCGUAGGUAUGACCUAAUUUAAGCGUUUUUUAUCAAGUAAAAAAGUAUCACUUCUGGUGCUUCUGGAUUAUGUUUUCGCAACCUUGGUCUUGGUCUUGCUGACUAAGAUAACUAGAUCUAUUCAUGUUGUGUACUUGGACUUGGAUGUGCAUGUGGAUUGUGCCUUUUAUGUUGGAUUUUUUUGUAUCAGGUAGACAUAGCUGUAGCCUUGCUUGCAAUUGCAAUUGGAUAACAUUGUCCUGAUUUUGCACAUUCACAGCUUGGAGGGCCUUAUGAUGUCCUUGUUUGAUGCAUAGCACUUUUCUUCUGGCAUCGUUGGACUUAACCUUGUCCAGUUAGGUAUACUAUCAUUUAUAUUCAACCUGUUACACUCUUGAGGUCAUAUCUGAGCAUUUCUGAAAAUGUUCAAGCAUAUAUAUUGUUUUGUUGGGCUGAGCCUUUAAUUGGCCAGGGAACAAUAUUGCAUCUUUUGGGAUGUACUUAUAGGACCAAGCCAGGGUAUUGUCUCUUCAAAAUAAGAGGUAGGCUGACUAUAUCAAAGAAACUGUUAUCACUUAUACAGAUGUUGUCGACCUUGUUUUUGUGUUAAUCGUAAUUUCUGCUUUCUGUAUGCUUCUCCAUGCUUCUAUGCUGACAUUUUAUUGCUUCUUCACACCAAUGACAAUGUUCUGUCACACUGUUGCUUUUAUCUCAGAUAUUAGUGUAUCUCUUUGCGUUUAGCUGACAUUUAAGGAUAAUUAUUUUGGUCACAUUUGUUUUGUCUCUACUGAUUUGUAAUGUCAACAUGAGAAUGGGUUUAAGAUAGUAUCAUUGCCCAUUUGCUUCAAUGUUCAGUUUGUAGUAUCUGAAUACAUUUCAGGAAUAAUAUGACGACGUGUUUGGUUCUGCACUUUUUCGCUGUCUUCCGGUUACACCGGCUCAUGAGUACGUUACAUUGUUUUGUUUGGGUUGGGCGGGAUUGAGUUCCAAUAUAUAGUAAACGGUCCUUCACAAAAUCCAAAAUGGUAUGUAUCGGUAGCUACGUAUUGAAUAAUAAGUUAACAAUGCUAGACUUGACCCACUUCCUUUACUCAACUGAGGACUGUAGCUAUUACAUAGGCGAUCUCUUGUUAAUAGAAAUCACUCACUUUUUUGUUUUCAUAUAUUUAUUCCCGUAGCUACUAUACAUCACAACAUGCAAGGAAAUAUAUGUCUGCUGAAAUUUAAUUUAAUUUGUUCUUUGCUCUUUACAGAAAUCUUGGAUUCAUAAAUGGGAGAAGCACAUAAGGGAGAAGAAGAUGAUUGCAAGGAUGGAGAGGGAGCAAAUCAUUUCGAGGGAU